CAAGAUAUAGCUUAACUAAAGUAUCUCGCUUACACCGAGAACAUGCCCGCGAAACCCGAGCUAUUUUGA
RNAcentral lists this transfer RNA (69 nucleotides) under Pseudis paradoxa (paradox frog). Its description in RNAcentral is "tRNA-Val". The record is from RNAcentral. Lineage: Eukaryota; Metazoa; Chordata; Amphibia; Anura; Hylidae.